AAAGGGAGACCUAAUUUAGGUAAAAGACGAAAAAAAAGUAGUCGCUACCAAGAAUCAAUCCCAAAAGGUCGGAGCGAGGCGAAAUUGGCUUUCAAACUAGGUUCUGGGUUCAAACAAGACCUGAAUCAGGAACAAGGGCUAUUAGCUCAGGUGGUUAGAGCGCACCCCUGAUAAGGGUGAGGUCCCUGGUUCGAGUCCAGGAUGGCCCACCUGCACAGGUGGCAAAAACAAGAGAAGCGAGGAAUCAGCACCUUAUCUUACUUAUAUAGUAAGAGAGAAUGCUGGCUCUGAGUAAAGAGUCCAGAGGAACCUUGAAAACUGCAUAGAGCUAGGUGAAAAAGCCAAAAAAGAAGACCGCAAG
This 361-nucleotide transfer RNA is filed under the name uncultured Microcystis sp. Its description in RNAcentral is "partial 16S-23S ribosomal RNA intergenic spacer". The stretch from base 136 to 209 matches the Rfam family "tRNA". The record is from RNAcentral. Lineage: Bacteria; Bacillati; Cyanobacteriota; Cyanophyceae; Chroococcales; Microcystaceae.